RNAcentral lists this ribosomal RNA (666 nucleotides) under uncultured Verrucomicrobiota bacterium. RNAcentral describes it as "bacterial SSU rRNA". It matches the Rfam family "Bacterial small subunit ribosomal RNA", at positions 12 to 651 of the family's 1533-position model. Lineage: Bacteria; Pseudomonadati; Verrucomicrobiota. The record is from RNAcentral.
UUUGAUCCUGGCUCAGAACGAACGCUGGCGGCGUGGAUAAGACAUGCAAGUCGAACGAUUAUCAUCGGGUAGCAAUAUUCGGUGGUGAGAGUGGCGCAAGGGUGCGUAACACGUGGGUAAUUUGCCGUGAAGUCUGGGAUAACUUGCUGAAAGGCGAGCUAAUACCGGAUGUGACUUUUGGAAGGCAUCUUCUGAAAUUCAAAGUCGGGGACCGUAAGGCCUGACGCUUCUCGAUAAGCCCGCGGCCUAUCAGCUAGUUGGUGAGGUAACGGCUCACCAAGGCUAAGACGGGUAGCUGGUCUGAGAGGACGACCAGCCACACUGGAACUGAGACACGGUCCAGACACCUACGGGUGGCAGCAGUCGAGAAUUUUUCUCAAUGGGCGAAAGCCUGAAGGAGCGACGCCGCGUGGGGGAUGAAUGGCUUCGGCCCGUAAACCCCUGUCAUUUGCGAUCAAACCUUACGACCUAACACGUCGUGAGCUGAUAGUAGCGGAAGAGGAAGGGACGGCUAACUCUGUGCCAGCAGCCGCGGUAAUACAGAGGUCCCAAGCGUUGUUCGGAUUCACUGGGCGUAAAGGGUGCGUAGGCGGUCGGGUAAGUCUGAUGUGAAAUCUCCAAGCUUAACUUGGAAAUGGCAUCGGAUACUAUUCGGCUCGAGGAAUG